Long non-coding RNA from Vicia villosa (hairy vetch), 1101 nucleotides. RefSeq lists it as uncharacterized. Lineage: Eukaryota; Viridiplantae; Streptophyta; Magnoliopsida; Fabales; Fabaceae. The transcript is spliced from 3 exons. The record is from RefSeq and is a predicted model, not a curated record.
UUUCUAUUAACCAUUGGCUUUUGCCCAAUUUUCCCUCACUCUUUCUUCCUCUUUCUCGUCUCACUCUCUCUCUUUUUUCUCUUUCUCAUCUACCCCCUUUCUCUCUCUAUUUUCUUUUUCCUCUGCAGUCACAAGUUCUCUCUCAACAUUCAAAAUCCAAACCCCAAUGCCUCAGUCUUCUCGUCUCCCUUUCACCGUCGAAGGAUUUUGCUAUAAUGGUUUUGGACUUUUGUAUAGCACUUUGAAAAGAGGAAGCGGUGGCCACCUACAUACAGGGUCUUGCUGCUGAAUUUUAUAUUCACAACAUCCAUGAUCUUGUAUAUUUUGCAAAUGCAUUAGGAGCAUCAUGUUUUAGUAAUGAAUUGGAUAAAUACAAAGAAUUUUGUUGUCUGACAUGGGGAAGAAGAAAUGCAACAUCUUAAACAAGCAACCAACUCCAAGAUGUUUACCUUCAAUUAUUUUUCAAUUCUGGUUUGCAUUUCUGUCGCCGGAAUGCAGCUAUGGCAUUUGAAGACAUUUAUUAUUGACGAGAACUAACCAAAGAUAUUAACCCAUAAACAAAUAAAGGAUUAGAUUGAUAGAAGAGAAAGACUUGAGAUUGUCGAAGUCAAAAAGAGAGGCAAAUCUUGGGUGAUGGUGAAGAUGAUAUAUUAGUUAUGAAACAAUGUGUUUAUUCUUGGUGUCAAGAAUUAAAGGGUGAAUCUUGUCUAAUUAUUUUUCAACCUCUCUUUUGAAAACUCUUGGAGGGAGAAUCAAAAACAUAUUCUCCAAACAAUGUGUUUGUUUUGUAAUGAUUUUUCCAUUUUAUGGAAAAAAAAUUUAUGAACCUUUCUAUGGUUUAUUCUGCUUGAUCAAUAAAAAAUAAAUAUUAGAUAAAAAUGAACUGUCGUGUGGUUUAUUCUUACUAUCUUAUUACUCUGAAGUUUGGUGCUAUAAUUUCUGUCAUUGUUUUUUAACCAGCUACAAAUCAGUUUCUGCAAAGGACACCACUUUUACACGCUGUGAUUUAAACUUAUUUUGAAAUUGCCAAUAUGACACUAUGCUUAUAACAAUAACUACUAUGAAUCUAUGAUGUCAAAUAUAAUUACAAACUUUCUCAUA